This 492-nucleotide ribosomal RNA is filed under the name uncultured bacterium. Its description in RNAcentral is "partial 16S ribosomal RNA". It matches the Rfam family "Bacterial small subunit ribosomal RNA", at positions 29 to 507 of the family's 1533-position model. The record is from RNAcentral.
AGUGAACGUUGGCGGUAGGCCUAACACAUGCAAGUCGAACGGCAGCACAGUAAGAGCUUGCUCUUACGGGUGGCGAGUGGCGGACGGGUGAGGAAUACAUCGGAAUCUACUUUUUCGUGGGGGAUAACGUAGGGAAACUUACGCUAAUACCGCAUACGACCUACGGGUGAAAGCAGGGGAUCUUCGGACCUUGCGCGACUGAAUGAGACGAUGUCGGAUUAGCUAGUUGGCGGGGUAAAGGCCCACCAAGGCGACGAUCCGUAGCUGGUCUGAGAGGAUGAUCAGCCACACUGGAACUGAGACACGGUCCAGACUCCUACGGGAGGCAGCAGUGGGGAAUAUUGGACAAUGGGCGCAAGCCUGAUCCAGCCAUACCGCGUGGGUGAAGAAGGCCUUCGGGUUGUAAAGCCCUUUUGUUGGGAAAGAAAAGCAGCAGGUUAAUACCCCGCUGUUCUGACGGUACCCAAAGAGUAAGCACCGGCUAACUUCGUG